CAACCAACAAACAGGUUUUUUCCCCCCCAUUAAUUAAAAGGAAAACAAACCUCUUUUAUGAAUUCCUUACUGACCGAUGAGCCAUCAACACAGUCUGAUACUAUGUAAUAUCUCAUUUACCGUCAAGCCCUAUAGAGUUUCAACACGAUUGGGACAUUUUUUUGUCAAAAUAAUAUUGCCAAAGAUGAUGCUGGUCAUUAGUAGUUGGCAUGGACUGGGGGAUUUUUGUGGAGCCCUGGCAAAUACAGACUAUCCAGAGUAAUAAUAGUUUUAGAGUGUAGAGACGUAUUGUGAAUUACAUUUCCCAGGGGCUGACUGAGUAUCAUGGUAAUUGUAAUUCCCAUAUAUCGGUUGGGACAAAGCUAGCCAUCGAUGGUAUUGGGAGUUG
Molecule: non-coding RNA, 388 nt
Organism: Pelobates cultripes (western spadefoot toad)
Lineage: Eukaryota; Metazoa; Chordata; Amphibia; Anura; Pelobatidae
Source: the annotation of a GenBank genome assembly